Molecule: ribosomal RNA, 269 nt
Filed under: uncultured prokaryote
Description: partial 16S ribosomal RNA
Rfam family: Bacterial small subunit ribosomal RNA
Source: RNAcentral
UACGUGGGUGGCGAGCGUUAUCCGGAUUUACUGGGCGUAAAGUGGGCGCAGGCGGCUUUUCAAGUCGGGUGUAAAAUCUCCCAGCUCAACUGGGAGCGACCAUCCGAUACUGCUAAGCUAGAGGACAGCAGAGGGAGGUAGAAUUCCCGGUGUAGUGGUGGAAUGCGUAGAUAUCGGGAGGAAUACCAGUGGCGAAAGCGGCCUCCUGGGCUGUUUCUGACGCUGAUGCCCGAAAGCGUGGGGAGCAAACAGGAUUAGAUACCCGCGUA